Molecule: ribosomal RNA, 500 nt
Filed under: uncultured bacterium
Lineage: Bacteria
Description: partial 16S ribosomal RNA
Rfam family: Bacterial small subunit ribosomal RNA
Source: RNAcentral
AUUGAACGCUGGCGGAAUGCUUUACACAUGCAAGUCGAACGGCAGCACGGACUUCGGUCUGGUGGCGAGUGGCGAACGGGUGAGUAAUGUAUCGGAACGUGCCCAGUCGUGGGGGAUAACGUAGUGAAAAUUACGCUAAUACCGCAUACGAUCUAUGGAUGAAAGCGGGGGAUCGCAAGACCUCGCGCGAUUGGAGCGGCCGAUAUCAGAUUAGGUAGUUGGUGGGGUAAAGGCCCACCAAGCCAACGAUCUGUAGCUGGUCUGAGAGGACGACCAGCAACACUGGAACUGACACACGGUCCAGACUCCUACGGGAGGCCGCAGUGGGGACAUUUGGACACUGGGCGAAAGCCUGAUCCAGCCAUUCCGCGUGCAGGAUGAAGGCCCUCGGGUUGUAAACUGCUUUUGUACAGAACGAAAAGGUUUCUACUAAUACUAGGAGCUCAUGACGGUACUGUAAGAAUAAGCACCGGCUAACUACGUGCCAGCCGCCGCAGUAA